This 334-nucleotide small nucleolar RNA is filed under the name Saccharomyces mikatae IFO 1815. RNAcentral describes it as "Fungal small nucleolar RNA U3". It matches the Rfam family "Fungal small nucleolar RNA U3". Rfam says of the family: Small nucleolar RNAs (snoRNAs) are involved in the processing and modification of rRNA in the nucleolus. There are two main classes of snoRNAs: the box C/D class, and the box H/ACA class. The record is from Rfam by way of RNAcentral. Lineage: Eukaryota; Fungi; Ascomycota; Saccharomycetes; Saccharomycetales; Saccharomycetaceae.
UAACACAUUCUACAGUAGGAUCAUUUCUAUAGGAAUCGUCACUCUUUGACUCUUCAAAAGAGCCACUGAAUCCAACUUGGUUGAUGAGCCCCAUAACCUUUGUACCCCAGAGUGAGGAACUAAAAUUAAAUCUAAAUUAGCUUGGUCCGCAAUCCUUAGCGGUUCGGCCAUCUAUAAUUUUGAAUCAAAAUUUUGCUUUGCCGUUGCAUUUGUAAUUUCUUCUUCGGAAGUUAUUACGAUAUAAAAUGGCGCGAUGAUCUUGACCCAUCCUAUGUACUUCCUUUUUGGAAGGGAUAGGGCUUCAUGGGUGGGUACAAAUGGCAGUCUGACAAGU